UCUCUCGUGGUCCAACGGUUCAAGACACGCGCCUGUCAAAUCGGCAAAUCCCGAACAAUCGCGCGUAACCCGGGUUCGACUCCCGGCGAGGGAG
This 94-nucleotide transfer RNA is filed under the name Auriculariales sp. MPI-PUGE-AT-0066. It matches the Rfam family "tRNA". Rfam says of the family: Transfer RNA (tRNA) molecules are approximately 80 nucleotides in length. Their secondary structure includes four short double-helical elements and three loops (D, anti-codon, and T loops). Lineage: Eukaryota; Fungi; Basidiomycota; Agaricomycetes; Auriculariales. The record is from Rfam by way of RNAcentral.